GAAAAGUUAGUUAAUUAAUAACAUAAAAUUGUCAAUUUUAAAUUACUAUACUUACUAGUACUUAUCA
RNAcentral lists this transfer RNA (67 nucleotides) under Bathothauma lyromma. RNAcentral's name for it is "tRNA-Asp". Lineage: Eukaryota; Metazoa; Mollusca; Cephalopoda; Oegopsida; Cranchiidae. The record is from RNAcentral.